AACGAACGCUGGCGGCAGGCCUAACGCAUGCAAGUCGAGCGAGGACUUCGGUUCUAGCGGCGGACGGGUGAGUAACGCGUGGGAAUGUGCCCUUCUCUACGGAAUAGCCCUGGGAAACUGGGAGUAAUACCGUAUACGCCCUAUUGGGGAAAGAUUUAUCGGAGAAGGAUCAGCCCGCGUUGGAUUAGGUAGUUGGUGGGGUAAUGGCCUACCAAGCCGACGAUCCAUAGCUGGUUUGAGAGGAUGAUCAGCCACACUGGGACUGAGACACGGCCCAGACUCCUACGGGAGGCAGCAGUGGGGAAUCUUAGACAAUGGGGGCAACCCUGAUCUAGCCAUGCCGCGUGAGUGAUGAAGGCCUUAGGGUUGUAAAGCUCUUUCAGCUGGGAAGAUAAUGACGGUACCAGCAGAAGAAGCCCCGGCUAACUCCGUG
RNAcentral lists this ribosomal RNA (433 nucleotides) under uncultured bacterium. RNAcentral's name for it is "partial 16S ribosomal RNA". It matches the Rfam family "Bacterial small subunit ribosomal RNA", at positions 29 to 507 of the family's 1533-position model. The record is from RNAcentral.